GAUGCAGCAACGCCGCGUGAACGAUGAAGGUCUUCGGAUCGUAAAGUUCUGUUGCAGGGGAAGAUAAUGACGGUACCCUGUGAGGAAGCCCCGGCUAACUACGUGCCAGCAGCCGCGGUAAUACGUAGGGGGCUAGCGUUAUCCGGAUUUACUGGGCGUAAAGGGUGCGUAGGUGGUCCUUCAAGUCGGUGGUUAAAGGCUACGGCUCAACCGUAGUAAGCCGCCGAAACUGGAGGACUUGAGUGCAGGAGAGGAAAGUGGAAUUCCCAGUGUAGCGGUGAAAUGCGUAGAUAUUGGGAGGAACACAGUAGCGAAGGCGGCUUUCUGGACUGCAACUGACACUGAGGCACGAAAGCGUGGGUAGCAAACAGGAAUAGAUACCCUGGUAGUCCACGCUGUAAACGAUGAGUACUAGGUGUCGGGGGUUACCCCCCUCGGUGCCGCAGCUAACGCAUUAAGUACUCCGCCUGGGGAGUACGCACGCAAGUGUGAAACUCAAAGGAAUUGACGGGGACCCGCACAAGUAGCGGAGCAUGUGGUUUAAUUCGAAGCAAGCGAAGAACCUUACCUAGCUGACAUCCUCGGACAGUGU
This 592-nucleotide ribosomal RNA is filed under the name Peptostreptococcus stomatis. RNAcentral's name for it is "bacterial SSU rRNA". It matches the Rfam family "Bacterial small subunit ribosomal RNA", at positions 385 to 1000 of the family's 1533-position model. The record is from RNAcentral. Lineage: Bacteria; Bacillati; Bacillota; Clostridia; Peptostreptococcales; Peptostreptococcaceae.